ACGCAUGUUCAACGCAACGAUCGGCCUUCUAAGCCGUUGGUCCCCCGUUCGAAUCGGGGCGGGCGUGCCA
RNAcentral lists this transfer RNA (70 nucleotides) under Polyangiaceae bacterium. RNAcentral's name for it is "tRNA-Ser". The record is from RNAcentral. Lineage: Bacteria; Pseudomonadati; Myxococcota; Polyangiales; Polyangiaceae.